RNAcentral lists this ribosomal RNA (350 nucleotides) under Cherax preissii. RNAcentral's name for it is "partial 12S ribosomal RNA". The record is from RNAcentral. Lineage: Eukaryota; Metazoa; Arthropoda; Malacostraca; Decapoda; Parastacidae.
AACUUGAAUAUUAGGAGUUAUGGGCUUUAAAUUCAAAGAAUUUGGCGGUAUUUUAGUCUUGUUAGAGGAACCUGUUCUGUAAGCGAUAUUACACGUAUAAUCUCACUUGCUUUUGUUUUAGCUUGUAUACCGUCAUUAUUAGAUAACCUUUAUUGAGGGAGUUAUUGACCUAUAAAAAAAUUAGAUAUAUUAGAUCAAGGUGCAGCUAAUGGGCAAGUAGAAAUGGGUUACAAUGAAAUUUAUUUAAACGAAUUAAUGUUUGAAAAAUUAUUAUGAAGGAGGAUUUAAUUGUAACAUAAAUUUAAUAAGUUUAUGUGGUAUGAGAACUACAAUAUGUACACAUACGCCCG